UGGGGAAUAUUGGACAAUGGGCGAAAGCCUGAUCCAGCCAUGCCGCGUGUGUGAAGAAGGUCUUCGGAUUGUAAAGCACUUUAAGUUGGGAGGAAGGGCAGUAAGCGAAUACCUUGCUGUUUUGACGUUACCGACAGAAUAAGCACCGGCUAACUCUGUGCCAGCAGCCGCGGUAAUACAGAGGGUGCAAGCGUUAAUCGGAAUUACUGGGCGUAAAGCGUGCGUAGGUGGUUCGUUAAGUUGAAUGUGAAAGCCCCGGGCUCAACCUGGGAACUGCAUCCAAAACUGGCAAGCUAGAGUAGAGCAGAGGGUGGUGGAAUUUCCUGUGUAGCGGUGAAAUGCGUAGAUAUAGGAAGGAACACCAGUGGCGAAGGCGACCUCCUGGGCUCAUACUGACACUGAGGUGCGAAAGCGUGGGGAGCAAACAGG
RNAcentral lists this ribosomal RNA (429 nucleotides) under Pseudomonadota bacterium. RNAcentral describes it as "Proteobacteria bacterium partial 16S ribosomal RNA". It matches the Rfam family "Bacterial small subunit ribosomal RNA", at positions 355 to 776 of the family's 1533-position model. The record is from RNAcentral. Lineage: Bacteria; Pseudomonadati; Pseudomonadota.